GCUAACUACGUGCCAGCAGCCGCGGUAAUACGUAGGUGGCAAGCGUUGUCCGGAAUUACUGGGUGUAAAGGGAGCGCAGGCGGGACAGCAAGUUGGAUGUGAAAUACCGGGGCUCAACCCCGGGGCUGCAUCCAAAACUGUUGUUCUUGAGUGAAGUAGAGGUUGGCGGAAUUCCGAGUGUAGCGGUGAAAUGCGUAGAUAUUCGGAGGAACACCAGUGGCGAAGGCGGCCAACUGGGCUUUAACUGACGCUGAGGCUCGAAAGCAUGGGGAGCAAACCGGAUUAGAUACCCUGGUAGUCCAUGCUGUAAACGAUGAAUACUAGGUGUGGGGGGACUGACCCCUUCCGUGCCGGAGUUAACACAAUAAGUAUUCCACCUGGGGAGUACGACCGCAAGGUUGAAACUCAAAGGAAUUGACGGGGGCCCGCACAAGCAGUGGAGUAUGUGGUUUAAUUCGAAGCAACGCGAAGAACCUUACCAGGUCUUGACAUCCGACUAACGAAGUAGAGAUACAUUAGGUGCCCUUCGGGGAAAGUCGAGACAGGUGGUGCAUGGUUGUCGUCAGCUCGUGUCGUGAGAUGUUGGGUUAAGUCCCGCAACGAGCGCAACCCUUGUCAUUAGUUGCUACGCAAGAGCACUCUAAUGAGACCGCUAUCGACAAGAUGGAGGAAGGUGGGGACGACGUCAAAUCAUCAUGCCCUUUAUGACCUGGGCUACACACGUACUACAAUGGCCGUCAACAGAGGGAAGCAAAACCGCGAGGUAGAGCAAACCCCUAAAAACGGUCCCAGUUCAGAUUGUAGGCUGCAACUCGCCUAUAUGAAGUUGGAAUUGCUAGUAAUCGCGGAUCAGCAUGCCGCGGUGAAUACGUUCCCGGGCCUUGCACACACCGCCCG
RNAcentral lists this ribosomal RNA (897 nucleotides) under uncultured bacterium. Its description in RNAcentral is "bacterial SSU rRNA". It matches the Rfam family "Bacterial small subunit ribosomal RNA", at positions 496 to 1396 of the family's 1533-position model. The record is from RNAcentral.